UUCAGUUGAGGCAUUGUUGGUCCUGUCUAUGACAGGCGAAGAGGGAAUGCGACAAGCACUUGAGCCGGAAUUGCUCAAAAGCUUACAACGCAGCCGCCCCCGCGACCGUGACCGGAGAGGACGUUCAACGCCACUGGCAAAAGCUGGGAAGGCCGAACGUCCGCAGGAUUAAAAACCCUACAUCCGCAAGCCGGGAGACCUGCCAACAGCGUGACUGAAAC
This 221-nucleotide non-coding RNA is filed under the name Candidatus Filomicrobium marinum. Lineage: Bacteria; Pseudomonadati; Pseudomonadota; Alphaproteobacteria; Hyphomicrobiales; Hyphomicrobiaceae. RNAcentral also lists the same sequence under 1 other name. The record is from RNAcentral.